This 886-nucleotide ribosomal RNA is filed under the name uncultured bacterium. RNAcentral's name for it is "bacterial SSU rRNA". It matches the Rfam family "Bacterial small subunit ribosomal RNA", at positions 28 to 896 of the family's 1533-position model. The record is from RNAcentral.
AUUGAACGCCGGCGGAAUGCUUUACACAUGCAAGUCGAGCGGCAGCGCGGGACUCAGGCAACUGAGCCCUGGCGGCGAGCGGCGAACGGGUGAGUAACCCAUCGGAACGUACCCUAUCGUGGGGGAUAGCUCGGCGAAAGCCGGAUUAAUACCGCAUGAGACCUGAGGGUGAAAGCAGGGGAUUGGAAACGACCUUGCGCGAUUGGAGCGGCCGAUGUCGGAUUAGCUAGUUGGUGGGGUAAAGGCUCACCAAGGCGACGAUCCGUAGCUGGUCUGAGAGGAUGAUCAGCCACACUGGAACUGAGACACGGUCCAGACUCCUACGGGAGGCAGCAGUGGGGAAUUUUGGACAAUGGGGGCAACCCUGAUCCAGCCAUUCCGCGUGAGUGAAGAAGGCCUUCGGGUUGUAAAACUCUUUCGGCAGGAACGAAACGGCGGGCUCUAACAUAGCCUGUUAAUGACGGUACCUGAAGAAGAAGCACCGGCUAACUACGUGCCAGCAGCCGCGGUAAUACGUAGGGUGCGAGCGUUAAUCGGAAUUACUGGGCGUAAAGCGUGCGCAGGCGGUUUUGUAAGACAGGUGUGAAAUCCCCGGGCUUAACCUGGGAACUGCGCUUGUGACUGCAAGACUGGAGUGUGGCAGAGGGGGGUGGAAUUCCACGUGUAGCAGUGAAAUGCGUAGAGAUGUGGAGGAACACCGAUGGCGAAGGCAGCCCCCUGGGUUGACACUGACGCUCAUGCACGAAAGCGUGGGUAGCAAACAGGAUUAGAUACCCUGGUAGUCCACGCCCUAAACGAUGCCAACUAGGUGUUGGGGAAGGAGACUUCCUUAGUACCGUAGCUAACGCGUGAAGUUGGCCGCCUGGGGAGUACGGUCGCAAGAUUA